CAACUUUUGACAAUGGAUCUCAUGGUUCUCGCAACGAUGAAGAACGCAGCAAAAUGCGAUAAGUAGUGUGAAUUGCAGAAUACGUGAAUCAUCGAAUCUUCGAACGCAUAUUG
This 113-nucleotide ribosomal RNA is filed under the name uncultured Cyllamyces. RNAcentral describes it as "partial 5.8S ribosomal RNA". It matches the Rfam family "5.8S ribosomal RNA", at positions 1 to 113 of the family's 154-position model. From Rfam's summary of the family: 5.8S ribosomal RNA (5.8S rRNA) is a component of the large subunit of the eukaryotic ribosome. It is transcribed by RNA polymerase I as part of the 45S precursor that also contains 18S and 28S rRNA. Functionally, it is thought that 5.8S rRNA may be involved in ribosome translocation. Lineage: Eukaryota; Fungi; Neocallimastigomycota; Neocallimastigomycetes; Neocallimastigales; Neocallimastigaceae. The record is from RNAcentral.